RNAcentral lists this ribosomal RNA (415 nucleotides) under uncultured bacterium. RNAcentral's name for it is "bacterial SSU rRNA". It matches the Rfam family "Bacterial small subunit ribosomal RNA", at positions 917 to 1333 of the family's 1533-position model. The record is from RNAcentral.
GGGCCCGCACAAGCGGUGGAGUAUGUGGUUUAAUUCGAUGCAACGCGAAGAACCUUACCAGGGUUUGACAUCCUGCGAACCUCUUGGAAACGAGAGGGUGCCUUCGGGAACGCAGUGACAGGUGGUGCAUGGCUGUCGUCAGCUCGUGUCGUGAGAUGUUGGGUUAAGUCCCGCAACGAGCGCAACCCACGUCUUUAGUUGCCAGCAUUUAGUUGGGCACUCUAGAGAGACCGCCGGUGAUAAACCGGAGGAAGGUGUGGAUGACGUCAAGUCAUCAUGCCCCUUACAUCCUGGGCUACACACGUACUACAAUGCUACGGACAAAGGGCAGCAAGUUCGCGAGGACAAGCAAAUCCCAUAAACCGUGGCUCAGUUCAGAUCGUAGGCUGCAACUCGCCUACGUGAAGGAGGAAUC